AGGCAAUAAGAAGCUUGGUUAGUUUUUUGGAGUCAAAUAUGACUAGAUGUCAUGUGUAUGAUUGAGUAUAAGAAUUAGAACGGCAACCGAUUCCCAAUAGCUAAAGUUAUGUUUUCUUGUUAGAAGAUACAAAGCCAAAGACUCAUACGGACUUCGGAUACACCAUCAAC
This 170-nucleotide small RNA is filed under the name Arabidopsis thaliana (thale cress). Its description in RNAcentral is "ATSL197780". Lineage: Eukaryota; Viridiplantae; Streptophyta; Magnoliopsida; Brassicales; Brassicaceae. The record is from RNAcentral.